GCCUGGCUAGCUCAGUUGGUAGAGCGUGGGACCCUUGAUCUCAAGAUCAUGGGUUUGUGCCCCAUGCUGGGUG
Molecule: transfer RNA, 73 nt
Filed under: Pangasianodon hypophthalmus (striped catfish)
Lineage: Eukaryota; Metazoa; Chordata; Actinopteri; Siluriformes; Pangasiidae
Rfam family: tRNA
About the family: Transfer RNA (tRNA) molecules are approximately 80 nucleotides in length. Their secondary structure includes four short double-helical elements and three loops (D, anti-codon, and T loops).
Source: Rfam by way of RNAcentral